This 2223-nucleotide long non-coding RNA is filed under the name Sus scrofa (pig). RNAcentral's name for it is "lncRNA (ENSSSCG00025067342.1)". Lineage: Eukaryota; Metazoa; Chordata; Mammalia; Artiodactyla; Suidae. The record is from RNAcentral.
GCAUCACCAUUCUUAGCAGUGCUCAGGAGGAUAACAGCAAACAAGACAGACAAACACUGCUGGGAAGCCAAUCAAACAUGCCGUCCCACACAGGGCAGGGAUAAUGGACAGAACCCGUCCGCCAGGGGUCCGAGGGACAGCUGACAACCUCAGAAGACACCCCCCCCCCCCGCGCCCCCUUCCAGUUUUUGGAAUACAUCACAGCCCACACUGAGGUCCCGGCAUGAUCCACCGGAGAGCUGCAUGUGCUUGUGAACACCUGUGUCCUCCUGCAGGUGUGGUACCCCACAUCUGGACAAGAGAGGGUCAACCACCGACCAUUUGUGAUGCUGUCACUGAGCCAGGAUGCAGGGGAGGAAGAGAAAGCUGGAGGGGUCCAUCAGAUCCCCAGGCUGUGGCCCCGCCAGUGAGACCCGGCCCCUCCUGACUCGGCCCAGCAGUGACCUGAAGAACCUCACGUGUGCCUUGUGACUCCUCCGCCUGUGCUCCCCGUCUCUUUACAUCGGUGCUUCUCUUGGUUGACGUUGGACUUCUGCAGUCCAGAGCUGGGAGAAAGGUUUGACCAGGUGCAAUGAGUAUUUGUCCCCUGGGACCUGAACCUGCACACAGGAGUCUGGCAGUGCCCACGUUCUGAAGCAGGUGUGGUGUCCUGCGUCACUGGGCUCCAUCUGGGCAGACGUGAGGAGGGGGUGGCAGGUUAUCAGGGGCCGAGUGAACAAGAGAGUCGCAGGACCAAGUUAGCAAAGCAGCCUUCAGGCUCUGAUGCUGAUCAGAUGAUCAGAAGGUUCAGGAUCAGUGAGAACCUUGGGUGGGUUGAAGGGAUUAUGAAGCAUCCACAGCAGUGUCUACAGAGAACGGGGUUUGCCCUGUCCCCAGGCAGGGAGAGGAGCUGCUACCCCUUGAACGGCAGAUGCUUUCAUGGGUCCACAGGGUGGUGUUGUGUCAGGAAGAAACUGACAACUCUCCCCGCUCCCCUGCCCUGGCCGCCUUGCUUAGGAGUCUCUGGGUUGAUAGGAAAGGCAAACCUGAAUUCUUUGCCUCUCGGCAUCCAGGGAACAGGUCGGUGCCACGUCUCCAUCAUCUGUGCCAUCUGUAGCCACAAAGCCAGCGCACAGCCUCGCAGUGACGCCAAGCAGCCUGGCCAGUUGCCCUGGUGCAAAUCACACAGCUCUGGAGCCUGGAGGUCUGAGACGGGGGAGCCAGCGCCGUCGGGUUCCUGGUGAUGGUUCUUCGGUUCUUCCCCCGUUAUGACCUUGAAGCGUUCCUCCUAUGUGGGUGCUGAUCCCAUCAUGGGGCCCCACCCUCAUGACCUCAUCUAAAGUGAGUUACCCCUGAAGACCCUGUUCCCAAAUACCUUCAACAAAUACACUGGGGAGGGGACAUUCUGUCCAUAGUAGCUCAUUAGCCUCACAUCAUUCCCCCCCCCCAAUUAAUUUUGGAUGUCCACAGGGGCUCUCAGGCAUUGUUCUUUUACCCUGGCUGUCUUGCUAUGUCAGUGCCAUCAAGGAAGCUCGUUGGCGCUAUGACCGCUGCCACUUUGGAGGACACCACCUCCCUCCUCGAGGAACCCCUAAAAUACCCCAAAAUGCUCCAAAGGUCAAAGGGAGCUGGGUCCUCCUUGGGCUGCCCUCAGCCACGCUCCUUGAGGAAAGAGAGAAAUGCCCUCUUUCGCAAUUUCUUUUUCACUUUGAUAUCUGUCUUUGGGAAAAGAGCCCCAUCGACCGUUCAGCCUGCACUGCCCCCUCCCCAGAUUCCCUCCUCAUGGGCCUUGCCAGUUACUCAGGCGGUGUUGGGGAGGUCAGGGGGCAGGACAUCGUGAGCCUCUGGCUCAAUGUCACUGUAAGCUCAGAAUCAAGCUGGGCCUGUGCCCAAGUGCAUGUGUGUUUGUCCAUGUCACGUAGCUGCAGUGUUGCGAUAAGCACAGUUCGAUGUGAUUUUGCUGCUCUCUGCCAUUUAAGAUUAUAUUAUAAAUAUUCUUACCUGUUCAAAUUGAGAAACAUUUUUUCAUUGCUACACAUAUUGCCGUGUAUUGAUAAGUCAUGAUUUGUCUCUGCUCACGGGGCAUCUGGGUUAUUUACAUGUUUAUGUCCAUUUUAAGUAAUACGGCCAGGAAUGUCUUUCCAUGUCAACUGCUGUGAUUUGCCUUGCAGUGAAAUUAAUGGGUCAGAGGGCAUUCAAGCUUUAAGCCAUAACUCUGAUGAUGGAAUAAGAUGCACAGUGGGG